GACGAAAGUCUGACGGAGCAACGCCGCGUGAGUGAUGACGGCCUUCGGGUUGUAAAGCUCUGUUAAUCGGGACGAAAGGCCUUCUUGCGAAUAGUUAGAAGGAUUGACGGUACCGGAAUAGAAAGCCACGGCUAACUACGUGCCAGCAGCCGCGGUAAUACGUAGGUGGCAAGCGUUGUCCGGAAUUAUUGGGCGUAAAGCGCGCGCAGGCGGAUAGGUCAGUCUGUCUUAAAAGUUCGGGGCUUAACCCCGUGAUGGGAUGGAAACUGCCAAUCUAGAGUAUCGGAGAGGAAAGUGGAAUUCCUAGUGUAGCGGUGAAAUGCGUAGAUAUUAGGAAGAACACCAGUGGCGAAGGCGACUUUCUGGACGAAAACUGACGCUGAGGCGCGAAAGCCAGGGGAGCGAACGGGAUUAGAUACCCCGGUAGUCCUGGCCGUAAACGAUGGGUACUAGGUGUAGGAGGUAUCGACCCCUUCUGUGCCGGAGUUAACGCAAUAAGUACCCCGCCUGGGGAGUACGACCGCAAGGUUGAAACUCAAAGGAAUUGACGGGGGCCCGCACAAGCGGUGGAGUAUGUGGUUUAAUUCGACGCAACGCGAAGAACCU
Molecule: ribosomal RNA, 606 nt
Filed under: Veillonella dispar
Lineage: Bacteria; Bacillati; Bacillota; Negativicutes; Veillonellales; Veillonellaceae
Description: bacterial SSU rRNA
Rfam family: Bacterial small subunit ribosomal RNA
Source: RNAcentral